GAUGAAGAACGUAGCGAAAUGCGAUACGUAGUGUGAAUUGCAGAAUUCAGUGAAUCAUCGAAUCUUUGAACGCACAUUGCACCUCUCGGUAUUCCGGGAGGUAUGCCUGUUCGAGCGUCAUUUGUACCCUCAAGCUCUGCUUGGUGUUGGGUGUUUGUUCCGCCUCUGUGUGUGAACUCGCCUCAAAACAAUUGGCAGCCGGCGUACUUGUUUCGGAGCGCAGCACAUUUUGCGCUUUAGACCCAUGUACAGCGGCAUCCAAGAAGCCUUCUUUAAUAAAUUUGACCUCGGAUCAGGUAGGGAUACCCGCUGAACUUAAGCAUAUCAAUAAGCGGAGGA
Molecule: unclassified non-coding RNA, 339 nt
Filed under: soil metagenome
Description: partial contains 5.8S ribosomal RNA, internal transcribed spacer 2, and large subunit ribosomal RNA
Rfam family: 5.8S ribosomal RNA (bases 1-120)
Source: RNAcentral